Molecule: ribosomal RNA, 465 nt
Filed under: uncultured bacterium
Lineage: Bacteria
Description: partial 16S ribosomal RNA
Rfam family: Bacterial small subunit ribosomal RNA
Source: RNAcentral
GACGAACGCUGGCGGCGUGCUUAACACAUGCAAGUCGUACGGUAAGGCCCUUUCGGGGGUACACGAGUGGCGAACGGGUGAGUAACACGUGAGUAACCUGCCCCCAACUUUGGGAUAACGCUAGGAAACUGGUGCUAAUACUGGAUAUGUGCUCCUGCUGCAUGGUGGGGGUUGGAAAGCUCCGGCGGUUGUGGAUGGACUCGCGGCCUAUCAGCUUGCUGGGGGGGUAGUGGCCUACCAAGGCGGCGACGGGUAGCCGGCCUGAGAGGGUGACCGGCCACAUUGGGACUGAGAGACGGCCCAGACUCCGACGGGAGGCAGCAGGGGGGAAUAUUGCACAAGGGGCGCAAGCCUGAUGCAGCAGCGCCGCGUGCGGGAUGACGGCCUUCGGGUUGUAAACCGCUUGCAGCAGGGACGAAGCUUUUUGUGACGGUACCUGCAGAGGAAGCACCGGCUAACUACGUG